GCCGACGUAGCUCAAUCGGCAGAGCGGCCGCCUUGUAAGCGGUUGGUUACGGGUUCAAGUCCCGUCGUCGGCU
RNAcentral lists this transfer RNA (73 nucleotides) under Anaerolineaceae bacterium. Its description in RNAcentral is "tRNA-Thr". It matches the Rfam family "tRNA". From Rfam's summary of the family: Transfer RNA (tRNA) molecules are approximately 80 nucleotides in length. Their secondary structure includes four short double-helical elements and three loops (D, anti-codon, and T loops). The record is from RNAcentral. Lineage: Bacteria; Bacillati; Chloroflexota; Anaerolineae; Anaerolineales; Anaerolineaceae. RNAcentral also lists the same sequence under 2 other names.